This 797-nucleotide ribosomal RNA is filed under the name uncultured bacterium. RNAcentral describes it as "bacterial SSU rRNA". It matches the Rfam family "Bacterial small subunit ribosomal RNA", at positions 8 to 794 of the family's 1533-position model. The record is from RNAcentral.
AGAGUUUGAUCAUGGCUCAGAUUGAACGCUGGCGGCAGGCCUAACACAUGCAAGUCGAGCGGUAGCACAAGAGAGCUUGCUCUCUGGGUGACGAGCGGCGGACGGGUGAGUAAUGUCUGGGAAACUGCCUGAUGGAGGGGGAUAACUACUGGAAACGGUAGCUAAUACCGCAUAACGUCUUCGGACCAAAGUGGGGGACCUUCGGGCCUCACGCCAUCAGAUGUGCCCAGAUGGGAUUAGCUAGUAGGUGGGGUAAUGGCUCACCUAGGCGACGAUCCCUAGCUGGUCUGAGAGGAUGACCAGCCACACUGGAACUGAGACACGGUCCAGACUCCUACGGGAGGCAGCAGUGGGGAAUAUUGCACAAUGGGCGCAAGCCUGAUGCAGCUAUGCCGCGUGUGUGAAGAAGGCCUUCGGGUUGUAAAGCACUUUCAGCGAGGAGGAAGGGUAGUGUGUUAAUAGCACAUUGCAUUGACGUUACUCGCAGAAGAAGCACCGGCUAACUCCGUGCCAGCAGCCGCGGUAAUACGGAGGGUGCAAGCGUUAAUCGGAAUUACUGGGCGUAAAGCGCACGCAGGCGGUUUGUUAAGCCAGAUGUGAAAUCCCCGCGCUUAACGUGGGAACUGCAUUUGAAACUGGCAAGCUAGAGUCUUGUAGAGGGGGGUAGAAUUCCAGGUGUAGCGGUGAAAUGCGUAGAGAUCUGGAGGAAUACCGGUGGCGAAGGCGGCCCCCUGGACAAAGACUGACGCUCAGGUGCGAAAGCGUGGGGAGCAAACAGGAUUAGAUACCCCGGUAGU